Molecule: ribosomal RNA, 454 nt
Filed under: uncultured bacterium
Lineage: Bacteria
Description: partial 16S ribosomal RNA
Rfam family: Bacterial small subunit ribosomal RNA
Source: RNAcentral
GAUGAACGCUGACAGAAUGCUUAACACAUGCAAGUCAACUUGAACUUCGGUUUGGGUGGCGGACGGGUGAGUAACGCGUAAAGAACUUGCCUCACAGCUAGGGACAACAUUUGGAAACGAAUGCUAAUACCUGAUAUUAUGAUUAUAUGGCAUCGUAUAAUUAUGAAAGCUAUAUGCGCUGUGAGAGAGCUUUGCGUCCCAUUAGCUAGUUGGAGAGGUAACAGCUCACCAAGGCGAUGAUGGGUAGCCGGCCUGGGAGGGUGAUCGGCCACAAGGGGACUGAGACACGGCCCUUACUCCUACGGGAGGCAGCAGUGGGGAAUAUUGGACAAUGGACCGAGAGUCUGAUCCAGCAAUUCUGUGUGCACGAUGAAGUUUUUCGGAAUGUAAAGUGCUUUCAGUUGGGAAGAAAAAAAUGACGGUACCAACAGAAGAAGUGACGGCUAAAUACGUG